CCACUAAUGUUCCUACCGUCAUUUAUCUUUAAAUCCUCCUCAUUAAUCGGAGGGAGUGUCAUUGGUCAAAGCGCGCUUUAGCUGGGAAGAGGCAGGUGAAAACUCACUGCAAACGGCGAUUAAAACACCGUAUCAGAACCAGAGACAACAUCUCUACUACAAGAAGGACUAAAGGUCUGACUGCAAGAUGAAUGGAAGAAUCCUCUUAUUUUUCCUUUGGAUGAUGCUUCUAGGAGUUGUCUAUGGACACCGUCGCCAACAGAGUCAUUCUCACAGUAACGAGAUACCCCACUUCUUCCAGCGCCCACCAUCUCCCCCUCACCCUUCAAAGCCUUUAUGGCCUCUCAUCCCAGGACUGUUCCCGUUUCCUUGGCCAACACCUUUCCCAAAGUGGGUUCCAACAUCUCCAACACAAGCUCCACCUCCUGCCUCAAUAUCCACCACUGUGCCUGUAACCCCUGACAGGGGUGACAACUAACAGACCAUGGACCGCAUUUCACUCGCUCAGCCCUGAACAAUCUCAACGUCUUUCUGUAGUUGUCAUGUCUGUUGAUUACAUUUGACCACCCAUUAAAAUCCAGAAGCAAGUUAAA
Long non-coding RNA from Paramormyrops kingsleyae, 593 nucleotides. RefSeq lists it as uncharacterized. The record is from RefSeq and is a predicted model, not a curated record. Lineage: Eukaryota; Metazoa; Chordata; Actinopteri; Osteoglossiformes; Mormyridae.